CAACUGCAAACGAUUUGUAUGGAGUUGGAAUAUCUCCCCUACGUUCACCGCUAGAGGAACUUUUCCAACUCCAUACAAAUUUGUGUUA
RNAcentral lists this microRNA precursor (88 nucleotides) under Bombyx mori (domestic silkworm). RNAcentral's name for it is "mir-2807 microRNA precursor family". It matches the Rfam family "mir-2807 microRNA precursor family". Lineage: Eukaryota; Metazoa; Arthropoda; Insecta; Lepidoptera; Bombycidae. The record is from Rfam by way of RNAcentral.